GCCCUCGUGGUGCAAUGGUAGCAUAUCAGACUUCUAAUCUGAGGGUUGCGGGUUCGAGCCCCGCCGGGGGUU
This is a non-coding RNA of Aspergillus ibericus CBS 121593, 72 nucleotides long. NCBI's taxonomy places the organism in Eukaryota, Fungi, Ascomycota, Eurotiomycetes, Eurotiales, Aspergillaceae. The record is from the annotation of a RefSeq genome assembly.